RNAcentral lists this ribosomal RNA (607 nucleotides) under uncultured bacterium. RNAcentral describes it as "bacterial SSU rRNA". The stretch from base 1 to 520 matches the Rfam family "Bacterial small subunit ribosomal RNA", at positions 338 to 873 of the family's 1533-position model. The record is from RNAcentral.
CCUACGGGAGGCAGCAGUGGGGAAUCUUGCGCAAUGGGCGAAAGCCUGACGCAGCAACGCCGCGUGCGGGAAGAAGGCUUUCGGGCUGUAAACCGCUUUCAGCAGGAACGAAAAUGACGGUACCUGCAGAAGAAGGAGCGGCCAACUAUGUGCCAGCAGCCGCGGUGAUACAUAGGCUUCAAGCGUUGUCCGGAUUUAUUGGGCGUAAAGAGUUCGUAGGCGGUCGAGUAAGUCGGGUGUGAAAAUUCUGGGCUCAACCCAGAGACGCCACCCGAUACUGCUUGACUUGAGUUCGAUAGGGGAGUGGGGAAUUCCUAGUGUAGCGGUGAAAUGCGCAGAUAUUAGGAGGAACACCGGUGGCGAAGGCGCCACUCUGGAUCGAUACUGACGCUGAGGAACGAAAGCAUGGGUAGCAAACAGGAUUAGAUACCCUGGUAGUCCAUGCCGUAAACGGUGGGCACUAGGUGUGGGUUUCUAUUAACGAAAUCCGCGCCGUCGCUAACGCAUUAAGUGCCCCGCCUGGGGAGGUACGGUCGCGAGACGUAAACGUACGAAGAAGUAAGUACGGCGUUGAGACGUUGCCGAACGGCGACGACGAGGGAGGAGG